ACGGGUGAGUAAUGUCUGGGGAUCUGCCCGAUAGAGGGGGAUAACCACUGAAAACGGUGGCUAAUACCGCAUAACGUCGCAAGACCAAAGAGGGGGACCUUCGGGCCUCUCACUAUCGGAUGAACCCAGAUGGGAUUAGCUAGUAGGCGGGGUAACGGCCCACCUAGGCGACGAUCCCUAGCUGGUCUGAGAGGAUGGCCAGCCACACUGGAACUGAGACACGGUCCAGACUCCUACGUGAGGCAGCAGUGGGGAAUAUUGCACAAUGGGCGCAAGCCUGAUGCAGCCAUGCCGCGUGUAUGAAGAAGGCCUUCGGGUUGUAAAGUACUUUCAGCGGGGAGGAAGGCGAUAAGGUUAAUAACCUUGUCGAUUGACGUUACCCGCAGAAGAAGCACCGGCUAACUCCGUGCCAGCAGCCGCGGUAAUACGGAGGGUGCAAGCGUUAAUCGGAAUUACUGGGCGUAAAGCGCACGCAGGCGGUCUGUUAAGUCAGAUGUGAAAUCCCCGGGCUUAACCUGGGAACUGCAUUUGAAACUGGCAGGCUUGAGUCUCGUAGAGGGGGGUAGAAUUCCAGGUGUAGCGGUG
Molecule: ribosomal RNA, 585 nt
Filed under: uncultured bacterium
Lineage: Bacteria
Description: bacterial SSU rRNA
Rfam family: Bacterial small subunit ribosomal RNA
Source: RNAcentral